RNAcentral lists this ribosomal RNA (88 nucleotides) under Cladosporium gossypiicola. RNAcentral's name for it is "partial 28S ribosomal RNA". The record is from RNAcentral. Lineage: Eukaryota; Fungi; Ascomycota; Dothideomycetes; Cladosporiales; Cladosporiaceae.
CGGGAGGCUACGCCGUAAAACAACCCCAUUUCUAAGGUUGACCUCGGAUCAGGUAGGGAUACCCGCUGAACUUAAGCAUAUCAAUAAC